GCCCGGGUGGCGAAAUUGGUAGACGCAGCGGAUUCAAAAUCCGCCGGUGGCAACACUGUGCCGGUUCAAGUCCGGCCCCGGGCACCA
Molecule: transfer RNA, 87 nt
Filed under: Photobacterium halotolerans
Lineage: Bacteria; Pseudomonadati; Pseudomonadota; Gammaproteobacteria; Vibrionales; Vibrionaceae
Also listed under: 4 other names
Description: tRNA-Leu
Rfam family: tRNA
About the family: Transfer RNA (tRNA) molecules are approximately 80 nucleotides in length. Their secondary structure includes four short double-helical elements and three loops (D, anti-codon, and T loops).
Source: RNAcentral